RNAcentral lists this non-coding RNA (29 nucleotides) under Rattus norvegicus (Norway rat). Lineage: Eukaryota; Metazoa; Chordata; Mammalia; Rodentia; Muridae. The record is from RNAcentral.
GGCCCCUGCUUAUUCUUUCAAUUAUGUCC